Molecule: long non-coding RNA, 1525 nt
Organism: Gasterosteus aculeatus aculeatus (three-spined stickleback)
Lineage: Eukaryota; Metazoa; Chordata; Actinopteri; Perciformes; Gasterosteidae
Source: Ensembl
AUGAUAAAUAAGUAAACAAACCAACGACUUCCACACACAAAGACGUCACUCUCUAGGUGACUCCACCUGUUGUUCUGGAGGUGAAUUGCUCUGCAACACACGCACGCCUUUAGAACCAUGACUUGAAACGAGUGCGUCGACGCAACGACGCCGACGCAGACGCAGAAACGUGCGCCAGCCUUCAGUCCACCCGGGAAAGGGCACCGAAGCGACGGUGCACCUUCGUCGGACCUCGCGCUGUGAGGAAGUUACUAAACAUCCCUGAAGCCCAUGUACGAGGGACUGGCACAGCGCUACAGCCCCGCAGGCAUAGAAAAGACACAAUACCAGUGGGUAGACAGGGAUUGCUGUGUUGCACUCAAGGGGGCAGAGUCGUUUGCAGGAGAGCAUCUGAAAUGGGAUUCUUGGAGAACAACAGAUGCAAUUAUUGCCGAUGUCACUUCUGGUAACCUCCGAAACACAUGUGCUUCAAGAUCACAUAUAGAUGUAGAUCACACAAAUGCAAACAUUUAUAUCAAGCUAGACUUGUUUCACCGCAUGAGGCAGUUCCUCCGUGAGUGUGUGUCGGAGCAUCACGUCCUGUACAGUUCCUUUGCUCAGUUCCUCUGGACUGGGACAAGAACAACAGCAAGACAGAUCACACCCAGGCCCCGAAUCCACCUCCUCAGAGUGAUCCACUCGCUACGCAGUCGGAGGUUCCUCUGUCAUCCUCACUGGCACCAUCAAGGUUGUUCCAGUUUUCUCCAUGCCCCCCUGCCGAUUCUGCUGUGAAACCAGAUGUGAGUCCCAGAACAACCCCAGGGCCUCGGGGAGAGCCAGAAACUUCACGUCCGCCGUCGCUGGCAGUUAUCGACCAGCUGCUCAACAAACACCGUGAGCAGAAAGACAUGCUGAAGCUUGUGGACCAGGACUACGCUGCUCUAGUUCACAACUCCUGCACAAACCCCAACAGCAUGCUCCACCCGACAGCAAAACUACAUAUCGUACAAUAUGUAAAGCACCUCAGCAAAUUGUUGAACACCAGUUCCUCUUUAAACGUCAGUCCAGAAAAACUGCAAGAGAGGCUGAAACUCUGGUCGCAAGUGUCGGUUCUGUAAGACGGAACUGAAGCAGGGCCCAAACAGUCGUCACAUUCACACUGGGUUCCCUGGAGUUACAGGGAAGUACAUUUUCUGCCCCACUAAAAUCUUUUCACUAUGCAAAGACCAGGGCAUGGACAAGGAAAUGACAUGGAGAGAGUUCCAGGGGUCUGCUUUCUUUGACAAAUUAAAAUAGAGAUGGGAGGCUGAAAUGAGGAAAGAAGAGAAAUAAUAGGGGGAGUUCCAUCUAGCAUUUUACGUCCAAUUAUUUGUAAUAUUCAUGUUGUAAUUAGUUUAUAUAUUGGUUUCUUGCUUUUGUGACUUUGUACAUUAAAAUAUUAUCUUUUUAUUUAUUCUUUAUAUUUGGUUUUAUGGUUCAUUAGUUUACUUAUUUAGAUGUCUUUAUUUCUGUAACAUUUCUGUUUGUAUAGGACUAUACAAAUCUG